This 460-nucleotide ribosomal RNA is filed under the name uncultured bacterium. RNAcentral describes it as "bacterial SSU rRNA". It matches the Rfam family "Bacterial small subunit ribosomal RNA", at positions 340 to 789 of the family's 1533-position model. The record is from RNAcentral.
UACGGAAGGCAGCAGUGGGGAAUAUUGCACAAUGGGCGAAAGCCUGAUGCAGCUAUGCCGCGUGUAUGAAGAAGGCCUUAGGGUUGUAAAGUACUUUCAUCGGGGAGGAAAAAACAAAACUAAUAAUUUUAUUUCUUGACGUUACCCGAAAAAGAAGCACCGGCUAACUCCGUGCCAGCAGCCGCGGUAAUACGGAGGGUGCUAGCGUUAAUCAGAAUUACUGGGCGUAAAGAGCACGUAGGUGGUUUUUUAAAGUCAGAUGUGAAAUCCCUGGGCUUUAACCUAGGAACUGCAUUUUGAAACUGAAAUACUAGAGUAUCGUAGAGGGAGGUAGAAUUCUAGGUGUAGCGGUGAAAUGCGUAGAUAUCUGGAGGAAUACCUGUGGCGAAAGCGGCCUCCUAAACGAAUACUGACACUGAGGUGCGAAAGCGUGGGGAGCAAACAGGGAUUAGAUACCCGU